Ipomoea triloba (trilobed morning glory) is the source of this 2100-nucleotide long non-coding RNA. RefSeq lists it as uncharacterized. Lineage: Eukaryota; Viridiplantae; Streptophyta; Magnoliopsida; Solanales; Convolvulaceae. The transcript has 4 exons. The record is from RefSeq and is a predicted model, not a curated record.
GCGAGUCUCUCUCUCCCCCCUUUCUCUCUCUUGAAAGUGAAAUUGAAUGGCAGAAAACGGAUCAGAACAACAAAAACAAUGACCAAACGCCUCUCCCUCGCGCCGCCCUAAUUCCCUUUUCCCCCGCGAGCAACGACCAACACGGCAACACAGCAGGUCAGCAACUCCAUUGACGUGAACCACCAGCCACGAGUUUUCUUGGAUUCCGAUUUGUUUUUGAAAACAAUUGUUUUCAAUUUUUGCUACAAUGGAGGUAUGUUCUUAUGGGUUUUCUAUAGAUUAUUCAGAUCUACUAACAAACUAUAUUCGUUUGAAGGAACAGAUCAACAUUGAUGAAUAGCCUUCAUCGAUCCAGAUUACCGGUGACUCAAAUCUCAGGUUCACAGAGGUUUGUCCAGGUACAGCACCUUCUACAUUUGAUUCUCUCCCUCCUCUCAAGUGAAGUGUCAACUUGUUUGUGCUAUCACCUCAAAGGCCAAUUUUCUCAAACAGCUUGCACACAAUGAUGGUUAGUUCAUGCAUGUAGGCAACUUAACAGCUUAGGGAAAAGUAGUUUAUGCAUUUUUUAUCAAGUUGCCAAGUUAUAAUGAUAUUAUUUGGAACUUUUACAGUUUUUAUGUAUAUUCUCAUCUCCCUCCUUAUUGACCCUUUUAAUUUUUUGAAACAAAUAUAUUCCAUCACUUCUCCUGAACAAAGUUGGAGCCAUGUCACAUUUUAGUUGUGUCACAUUUUAAAGUGUGUUAUGACAUUUUCACUUAAUAGUUACAUUAAUAUGAAUAAGAACUAAAAUGUGCAAGAGGAUACUCUGCAGGAGAUUAUUAAAGAUCAGGUUGUUAACAUGUAUCUGUGGCCUAAAACUCUGGAAGUGCAAAUUUUGGACCCAUCAAAGUAUGUUUAUGAUUUUUUGUAUUUUUCAACUGCGUUUUAUGGCUUAGUUUUGGGAUGUGCAGAGCCAUGAAGAUCCUUAGAGCAAAACAACUGAGAAAGAAAGAUCUACUUGGGGCUUUUGAUCCCUAUGUGAAAAUUAAACUCAGAGUCUAAGCUCCCAUCAAAAAAGAUUUCAAUGAAACAUAAGAAUUUAAACCCAAAAUGGAAUGAGGAAUUUAGCAUGGUUGUUAAAGACCCAGAAACUCAGUACUGGAGAUCAAUGUUUAUGAUUGGGAGCAAGUAAUUUUAAUACUUUGUGGUUAUGGAUUUCACUCAUUCAUUCCAUGUAUCUCAAUAUGUUUAUUCUUCUUGUCAGGUUGGGAAACAUGAAAAGAUGGCCAUAAAUGUGAUGCUUUAUGCAUUUAGGAAGGACUUGUGUUCUUGAACCGUUCAAAUGAGAGCAGGCUUUUAAGAGAAUUACAGAAUUUGUAUGCUUAAAGAAUCAAAAGAGACUUGGUUGAAUUGAUUUUGAAGAUAAGUGGACAGACAUAUGGGAAGUAUAAAUGGAAGACAUAUAUAGGGGUCUAAAUGCUUGGGAAUCUCUGCAUUUUUCUUUAGAUUUUCAACUCAAAAAGUCUGUCUCUGCAUAUUUUUUUUUAGAGUUAAUUCCAUUUUUAGUCUUAAAUUUAUAAGUGUCAUUUUACUUUUAGUCUUUUUUUUUUUCAAAACAUCCACUUUUGAUCUUAGUAUUAUUGUGACAUGACCAUUUUUGGUCCUUUAUCAACAAAACAGUUUAAAUUUCGUAUAAUACAAUAGCACUUCAGUCUUAAUUUUGAUUUUGUUUAAAAAAAAAAAACAUAAAAAAUAUAGCGGGUCAACCUACUUUGUAUAAAAAGGAUCAAAAUGUCAUUGUAUUUAACAGCAUUUUAAUGGUUUUCUUGACGAAGGAUCAAAAAUGGUUAUGUCACAAUAAUACUAGGAUUAAAAGUGAAUGUUUUAAAAAAAAAAGACUAAAAGUAGAAUUAACACUUAUAAAUCUAGGACAAAAAUAUAAUUAACUCAUUUUUUUACAUUCCCCAUGCAUUGAGCUUUGUGCAGCAUUAAUGGCUUAUAUAUACAGAGUAUUAAACAAUAAAGGACAACGGCAGCUGGAUUUUCUUGUGCAGCAUUAAUUGCUUAUAUAUACAGAGUAUUAAACAAUAAAGGACAACGGCAGCUGGAUUUUCUUCCAAA